RNAcentral lists this transfer RNA (73 nucleotides) under Treponema sp. Its description in RNAcentral is "tRNA-Pro". It matches the Rfam family "tRNA". From Rfam's summary of the family: Transfer RNA (tRNA) molecules are approximately 80 nucleotides in length. Their secondary structure includes four short double-helical elements and three loops (D, anti-codon, and T loops). The record is from RNAcentral. Lineage: Bacteria; Pseudomonadati; Spirochaetota; Spirochaetia; Treponematales; Treponemataceae.
CGGUGGGUAGGCCAGUGGUUAAGCCAUCAGUUUUGGGAACUGAACAUCGGGGGUUCAAAUCCCCCCUCGCCGA